This 445-nucleotide unclassified non-coding RNA is filed under the name Paenibacillus larvae. RNAcentral's name for it is "partial contains 16S-23S ribosomal RNA intergenic spacer and 23S ribosomal RNA". The record is from RNAcentral. Lineage: Bacteria; Bacillati; Bacillota; Bacilli; Caryophanales; Paenibacillaceae.
GCUUUACUCACUCGUUGUCAGUUUUUGAAAGGGCGACCUUUUCACCCUUGUACCUUGAAAACUAGAUAGCGAAACAAAGCGAGAACUUAGAACAUCCUUAAUAUAAAGCGAAGUGUUUCGUUUGAAGUGAGCGACUUUCGCAGAUGAAUGUUCACCUUACGUGUGAUUGAAAACAUUCAGGUGCAGCGAAAGCCCUUCAAAGAAAUACAAAGCAUAGGUUAAGCUGGUAAGAGCACACUGGAAUGCCUCGAUACGUGUGAUUGAAAACAUUCAGGUGCAGCGAAAGCCCUUGUACCUUGAAAACUAGAUAGCGAAACAAAGCGAGAACUUAGAACAUCCUUAGUAUAAAGCGAAGUGUUUCGUUUGAAGUGAGCGACUUUGCAGAUGAAUGUUCACCUUACGUGUGAUUGAAAACAUUCAGGUGCAGCGAAAGCCCUCAAAGAAA